AUUUGGAUAAACUUUUCAAAAUUCUAAAAAAACCCCAAAUAUAUUUUUAUAAACAAUAAAUAAGUCUUUAAAAAGAUAAUUUCUAUACAAAAAACCAACAUUAUGGCUGCAAACAAAUCAUUUGCCUUAAAGAAAACUAACGUUGAUGAAGUAUUUGCAAAAUAUUCAGAUAGAUUGAAAUCGAAAAACAACUGAGAACCUAAGCAAAUUAAUAGCAAUAGCAGAUAUCAAAUAGUAACAUCUAACUUUAAUAUUACGCAGAGAAAGAACUAAAACCUUAUUUGCAGUUACAAACUCUCAAAUUCUCUUGCGAAUUAUAAAGCCGUUUAUAAAGUUAUACUCCUAAGAACUUCUCAAUAUUCAAAUUUGCAAAUACAUUCUAAUAUUUCCAAGAAACAAUAUAAAGUUCAUUGCUGCUAUUAAACUGAAAAUUCAUUUACAAACGCUGACAUUCACUUUGACGCCGGCAGAAUACUUUUGUAUGUAAACUUGAAAGAUGGUUAAUAAAAGAGAAUCAAAUUCCUCUCAAGACAAUAGUAAUAAGAAAGAUGAGAAAUCUUCCAGAAAAAGG
Long non-coding RNA from Calliphora vicina (urban bluebottle blowfly), 571 nucleotides. RefSeq lists it as uncharacterized. Lineage: Eukaryota; Metazoa; Arthropoda; Insecta; Diptera; Calliphoridae. The record is from RefSeq and is a predicted model, not a curated record. The transcript is spliced from 2 exons.